Molecule: ribosomal RNA, 643 nt
Filed under: uncultured bacterium
Lineage: Bacteria
Description: bacterial SSU rRNA
Rfam family: Bacterial small subunit ribosomal RNA
Source: RNAcentral
CGCGGCCUAUCAGCUUGUUGGUGGGGUAGUGGCUUACCAAGGCUUUGACGGGUAGCCGGCCUGAGAGGGUGACCGGCCACAUUGGGACUGAGAUACGGCCCAGACUCCUACGGGAGGCAGCAGUGGGGAAUAUUGCACAAUGGGCGGAAGCCUGAUGCAGCAACGCCGCGUGCGGGAUGACGGCCUUCGGGUUGCAAACCGCUUUCGCCUGUGACGAAGCGUGAGUGACGGUAAUGGGUAAAGAAGCACCGGCUAACUACGUGCCAGCAGCCGCGGUGAUACGUAGGGUGCGAGCGUUGUCCGGAUUUAUUGGGCGUAAAGGGCUCGUAGGUGGUUGAUCGCGUCGGAAGUGUAAUCUUGGGGCUUAACCCUGAGCGUGCUUUCGAUACGGGUUGACUUGAGGAAGGUAGGGGAGAAUGGAAUUCCUGGUGGAGCGGUGGAAUGCGCAGAUAUCAGGAGGAACACCAGUGGCGAAGGCGGUUCUCUGGGCCUUUCCUGACGCUGAGGAGCGAAAGCGUGGGGAGCGAACAGGCUUAGAUACCCUGGUAGUCCACGCUGUAAACGGUGGGUACUAGGUGUGGGGUCCAUUCCACGGGUUCCGCGCCGUAGCUAACGCUUUAAGUACCCCGCCUGGGGAGUACGG